This 721-nucleotide unclassified non-coding RNA is filed under the name Hevea brasiliensis (rubber tree). The record is from RNAcentral. Lineage: Eukaryota; Viridiplantae; Streptophyta; Magnoliopsida; Malpighiales; Euphorbiaceae.
UUAUUUACUUAUUUAUUUAUUUUUUUGAAUUAUUUAAAAAAAAUAUUAUUUAGAGAAAUCAAUUAAAUUGAAUUAAAAUGAUUCGGUUGGUAAAUCGAACAUUUUCAGUUUUUACCUUUUACACGGUUAAACCUCGGAAUUCACAGAAAGAAGAAAACAACAAUUGAACAAUACUCAUUUUUAAAGAAAUGAACAUAAGAAAAAUAAAAUAAAAAACGGAUAUCAAGAAAUAAACAAAAAAAAAAUCAGAAAUAAAAGUUCAUAAUUUCAAGCCAAUAACAAUAUCAGUUCUAAAUGCAAUCUCAAGUCUCAAUUUUAAUUCUUACACUAUGGCAAUCAACAAUCAAUUUCAUAGGUAAAAACCAAUGAUCAAUUUCAUUGGAGAAAAAUUAAUACACAAAACAUAAUAUAAAAUCAUUAAAAAUAAAAAAAAAAUUGAUAUACAAAAUAAUCACUACUUUUUGCAACAAAAAAAUUACGGUUUUUAUUUUUAGGGCCACAUCCAUUUCCACCUCCAUAUUUCCAGUUGAUGCAUGAGCUUGGGCUUGAUGGGGCUGCUUUGCACAGGGCAGUGGCUAGUCACACGGGAAACUAGGAGAAUGGAGCAAGUCGCAAACUCACAAAGAUAAGAAUAGUAGACUCGCAGAAACAAAUAAUCAAAGAAGAACAAGCAAAGAAUCAAAGAAGAUUAAGCAAAGAAUCGAAGAAGAAGAAAGCUAAG